This is a long non-coding RNA of Neodiprion fabricii, 449 nucleotides long. RefSeq lists it as uncharacterized. Lineage: Eukaryota; Metazoa; Arthropoda; Insecta; Hymenoptera; Diprionidae. The record is from RefSeq and is a predicted model, not a curated record. The transcript is spliced from 2 exons.
GGAAUGAGGUUACACAGUCAAAAAAAGUGUUUUCAUUACAUUUCACCAAAAAUGACUUCAUACCAACAUCCAAUGUUGCGAUAUUGCACCCACAAUUUCAUGCGGUGGAUCUUUUAAACGAGAAGUUUGGAGACAGAAUGCAAUUAUUUUAUACUCAUUAUCACAACUAGUAUCUGAUUGCUGUAGGCCACAUUUCAUUAGAUGUCCCGCAUCAAGUAUAUCUUCACCACCAAUAAAAUUUUUAUGACUAGGCUGAGUAUUUGCAAACUCACAAAUUUCUUGUAUUGAAAUUUUCAUAUUUUAUUGAAUUUUUUUUGAAAAUUCGAGUUUAAUAACUGUAAAUAAAUACACGCUUUCACAUAAGAACACGAAAGCUGAUUUAAAAAUGCGUUUUAGAAUAGUUACUGCUUCUGCCGCAAGGAGAAGCCACGCCCCCGGCAGAUUUCCCA